Molecule: ribosomal RNA, 497 nt
Filed under: uncultured bacterium
Lineage: Bacteria
Description: partial 16S ribosomal RNA
Rfam family: Bacterial small subunit ribosomal RNA
Source: RNAcentral
GACGAACGCUGGCGGCGUGCCUAAUACAUGCAAGUUGAGCGCUGAAGGUUGGUACUUGUACCAACUGGAUGAGCAGCGAACGGGUGAGUAACGCGUGGGGAAUCUGCCUUUGAGCGGGGGACAACAUUUGGAAACGAAUGCUAAUACCGCAUAAAAACUUUAAACACAAGUUUUAAGUUUGAAAGAUGCAAUUGCAUCACUCAAAGAUGAUCCCGCGUUGUAUUAGCUAGUUGGUGAGGUAAAGGCUCACCCAGGCGAUGAUACAUAGCCGACCUGAGAGGGUGAUCGGCCACAUUGGGACUGAGACACGGCCCAAACUCCUACGGGAGGCAGCAGUAGGGAAUCUUCGGCAAUGGACGAAAGUCUGACCGAGCAACGCCGCGUGAGUGAAGAAGGUUUUCGGAUCGUAAAACUCUGUUGGUAGAGAAGAACGUUGGUGAGAGUGGAAAGCUCAUCAAGUGACGGUAACUACCCAGAAAGGGACGGCUAACUACGUG